UACGUAGGGAGCAAGCGUUAUCCGGAAUUAUUGGGUGUAAAGGGUGCGUAGACGGGAAAUUAAGUUAGUUGUGAAAUCCCUCGGCUCAACUGAGGAACUGCAACUAAAACUGAUUUUCUUGAGUGCAGGAGAGGAAAGUGGAAUUCCUAGUGUAGCGGUGAAAUGCGUAGAUAUUAGGAGGAACACCAGUGGUGAAGGCGACUUUCUGGACUGUAACUGACGUUGAGGCACGAAAGUGUGGGGAGCAAACAGG
RNAcentral lists this ribosomal RNA (253 nucleotides) under uncultured bacterium. RNAcentral's name for it is "partial 16S ribosomal RNA". It matches the Rfam family "Bacterial small subunit ribosomal RNA", at positions 524 to 776 of the family's 1533-position model. The record is from RNAcentral.